Molecule: ribosomal RNA, 301 nt
Filed under: uncultured bacterium
Lineage: Bacteria
Description: partial 16S ribosomal RNA
Rfam family: Bacterial small subunit ribosomal RNA
Source: RNAcentral
CAGCAGCCGCGGUAAUACGGAGGGGGCUAGCGUUGUUCGGAAUUACUGGGCGUAAAGCGCACGUAGGCUGCUUUGUAAGUCAGAGGUGAAAGCCCGGGGCUCAACCCCGGAUGUGCCUUUGAGACUGCAGGGCUAGAACGUCGGAGAGGUGAGUGGAAUUCCGAGUGUAGAGGUGAAAUUCGUAGAUAUUCGGAAGAACACCAGUGGCGAAGGCGGCUCACUGGACGACUGUUGACGCUGAGGUGCGAAAGCGUGGGGAGCAAUCAGGAUUAGAGACCCCUGUAGUCCCUGUCUCUUAUAC